AAAGAAACAGUUCCGCAAUGCUAGGACAAUCCCAAAAUAUUUGUAUUUUGUCUGCUCACAGGUCAGCAGGCAUAAUAUAAUAUCCGUGCUGUCACCCAGCCAAUUCUCACCCGCCACCAGUUUCUUGAAGCCACAGCUGUGACGGUGUUCCCACUACUGUUACCAAUCACCGUCACGCAUGACACAGCACUUAUUUCUUAAGUGUUACGCGCUUCAUCAUUCAUGAAUCCGACAGGUGUUAUGUUUAUAUUUUAUUUACUUAAUUAGACAGCAAUAAUAUGAUAAUUGUUAUAAAUUUAUAAUUUUCUAAAAAAAUAUAAAUAUAAAUUUACAAUUUUAUCCUUUAAAUUUAUGGCUCAGAGUCCGAAUCCAGAGCAGUCAAAAUUAUGAAUGAGUUGGACUUUUUUAUUCUCAUCAUCUAAUUAUUUAAACUUCAUUUUCAUGCAUACCAAAUUUUUUCUCAUAUCUCUAUUUUCAUCAACUAACAAAUAUAUCUAUAUCUCUCCUUUUAUUUAUCAUAAAUAUUAAUUAAAUAAUUUUUCAAAAAAUAUAAAAAUCAUAAGAAAGAAAACAUAAUAUUAUAAAUUAUUCAAUGUUAAUAGGAUACAAAUAUUUUUUUUUCCAAUGUCUAUAAAAAAUUAUUAUUAAAUAAAUAUGAGAUCAAAGGAUUAAAUAACAAUUGGAUGAGAUCAGAUAAUUAUAGGAAAGAAUAAAAAUAAUUAAAUAUACUAUUUUAUUAAAUAUUUGGAACUUGGUUUUUCUAUUUUUAUUACAUGAUAUAUAUAUAUAUAUAUAUAUUGUCUAAAUAUCGGAUUAUUCAUAUAUUACACCAACAAAUAUUAACCACCAAAUAUUACUUGAAAAAUCUACUAUUUAAUGAAUUUAUAAAAAAAUGAUCUCACUCCAAUAAAUUAGUAACAUAUAAUUACAUUAAAUACUUUAUUAUAUUUUGACUUGAAUAAACGUGCUAACAAAUAGCUAAAAAAUAAGUACUAAUAAAACAUUAGAUUAUCAUACAAAUAAAUGGAGUGCAUAUAUUAAAUUAUUAUUAUUACUUAAAUAUUCAAUCUUUAAACAUGUAUUUUUAUGGAACCAUGACAUGUGACUAUUGAAUGAUUUGAUUAUAUUAGAUAGCGAAUAAAAAGAUAUACAAUAAAUCAAGUAAUAUCUUAUAAAUUUGGAUGAUAUCUUAUAAAUUUCGUAAUUAUGUGAAAAAUCAGUUUAUUAAAAACAGGUGUCAGAUACGGUCCAUAAACAAGCCCAUAAACUAAAUAAUCCAUUAUUAACACUAUAAAUAAACAUUAUUAUACAAGAGUAAGGUAUGCUUUUAUUAAUCACUCGCUCACUUUUAUUCAGAGCACCAAGAAAAUGAAUACAAGAAGAGAGAAGGAGGAGCUACUGAGGGACCAAAAACAAUUAUUCAAGUUGGUAAAAGG
This 1436-nucleotide long non-coding RNA is filed under the name Phaseolus vulgaris (common bean). Its description in RNAcentral is "long non-coding RNA (PVUL_LNC004967)". The record is from RNAcentral. Lineage: Eukaryota; Viridiplantae; Streptophyta; Magnoliopsida; Fabales; Fabaceae.